RNAcentral lists this long non-coding RNA (863 nucleotides) under Vombatus ursinus (common wombat). RNAcentral's name for it is "lncRNA (ENSVURG00010013909.1)". Lineage: Eukaryota; Metazoa; Chordata; Mammalia; Diprotodontia; Vombatidae. The record is from RNAcentral.
UUGGAAGGAAGCUCAAAAAGUCGAGAACCCUCACCUCCCCCCUUCCCCUUCCCCUCCCCAUCCCCCUCCAUCUUCCCAGGACAGCUUUUCAAGAAGUUUAAUUGCACUUAGAGUUGGAGCAGCUUCGGAGUUUCCUGACAUGGUAUUCGGGAGUGGACUCAGCGCUCAGAACAGAUGUCCCAGUGAUUGGCAGUUUUAAUGCUUCUCCAGUUUCACUCAGUCAAGUGAGGAUAGACACCAGCCUAUUAGUGAGACUGGACAAAACCGUGACUGGUGGAGUACCACAGUAAAUGUAAUUUGAAGAAAGCAAGAAAGAACCAAUGGCUUUAGCUGGCUGCCCGGAUUCCUUUUUGCAUCAUCCAUAUUACCAGGACAAGGUAGAUCAGACUUCUACUCACGGUCAGAGCAAGCUAGUGGAACCUGGAUUCCAAGAACAACCUACCCGAGUCGCCUUAAAUCACCAAGAAUGGCUCUAAGGCCCUGUUUUCCUUUCCUUUAGCCUCGUGAUACAGAGGCAUCUUGAAACCCAAUCAUCCCAUGGAAAUGUACAUAUAGUCUGCAGUUUCACUUGUCAUAUAUAAUUGCAUCUACUCUUCAUAAGGCUUAAUCAACAUUUGUGGAAUUGAAUUGUACUUGAUCAGACUGCAUCUGGCCAGGUUGGCAUACAACCCACCAAAGAAAGCUUUAUGGACCUUAAUGGCUAUAAUUUAAAAAAUCCAAUCCAGCAAACCAAACAGCAUUUAUUAAGUACCUUAUUUGUGGAAGGCACUGAGGAUGCAAAAAUUAAAGGGGAAAAGUAAGUAGAUUUCUUCCCUUUCUACUGCAAACUAAUAACAUAAAAUGCUAUUUCUACGGACUCCACA